UCGAAACAGGAUCGACGAACGUCUAAAGAUGUAGCUUUAUCUCGGCUGACUGCCACCGUUAUCGGCGUAAAAUGUACAAUUGCAAAUGACAAUCGUGCUCCAAUGGCGAUGGCCGCGUAAGCGACCGGAACUAUUGAAACUUAAGUCCUUACGUUUAGCGACCUAAGGCGGGGUUCGCAGGUACCUGGCAACAGAAACCUGCACU
Molecule: transfer-messenger RNA, 205 nt
Filed under: Sulfitobacter litoralis
Lineage: Bacteria; Pseudomonadati; Pseudomonadota; Alphaproteobacteria; Rhodobacterales; Roseobacteraceae
Description: partial transfer-messenger RNA
Rfam family: Alphaproteobacteria transfer-messenger RNA
About the family: Bacterial tmRNA, also known as 10Sa RNA or SsrA, is named for its dual tRNA and mRNA-like properties. Its role is to liberate the mRNA from a stalled ribosome.
Source: RNAcentral